AAGGUUGUGAAGGGCAGCCAAGUGGAGUGCGGAGGCGCCAUGGUGGGCAGGAUGUCCCACGUUACUUGGCUUGAGGGCACUUUCGUGGAAACCAUCAAGGGGUGGCAAUCGGGGUGGUUCUACAUUACCGAGCCGCGCGACCCCGAAUGGGCAGCGGCCCCCGAAUUCAGAUCCGGCAUCCCCACACGGCUCACCUCCUGGAAAGAGAGCGGCCGGACAUGGGGUGAUUCGGAGGAGCUGACCAGACUCCAAGCUUGCAUCCAAAAGCUAGUGGACAAGAAGCUCAAGCUUGUCAACAUAGUCCAG
This 306-nucleotide ribosomal RNA is filed under the name Triticum aestivum (bread wheat). RNAcentral's name for it is "partial small subunit ribosomal RNA". The record is from RNAcentral. Lineage: Eukaryota; Viridiplantae; Streptophyta; Magnoliopsida; Poales; Poaceae.